UAACGGCGAGUGAAGCGGGAAGAGCUCAAGCUUGAAAUCUCUGAUCUCAACGGGUCAGCGAAUUGUAGUCUAGAGAAGCAUUGUCAAGGCGAAGUCGCUCUAACAAAGUCACUUGGAACGGUGCGUCAUAGAGGGUGAGAACCCCGUGUGCGUUAGAGUGGCUCGCUGACGAGGUGUUUUCUCAGAGUCGGGUUGCUUGGGAAUGCAGCCCAAAAGGGGAGGUAAACUCCUUCUAAAGCUAAAUAUGGGCACGAGACCGAUAGCGAACAAGUACCGUGAGGGAAAGAUGAAAAGCACUUUGAAAAGAAAGUUAACAGUACGUGAAACCGUUAGUAGGGAAGCGCAUGGGAUUAGCAACGCGCUUGAGAGAUUCAGGCUCGUCGGGGGCGGUUGCUUGUAGAGUUGAUCUUUAUCGACAGCUCUGCUUGUACUCUGUUCUCGUCGCGGCUGUACUUCUGUCRAGUGCGCGUCAACGAGUGUUCGGACCGGCUGAAACGUCCUUGAGAAAGGUGGCUUGUCUCUUCGGAGAGGAGUGUUAUAUUCUUAGGUGACCGAGUCGGGCUGGACAGAGGAGUCGCGGUGCGUGCUUUACGGCUUGCCGCCGGUGUUCGUUUGUGUCAAGUGUUAGGUUGACUCGGCUCACGCUGAGUGUUCUUUUCGCUUGGUGUUCUCGUCGUCGAACGGURGAAACGCACCAAGGUCGUUGGCGGUCAUAUGGUCUUAUGCGACCCGUCUUGAAACACGGACCAAGGAGUCUGACGCGUAUGCAAGUCUUAGGGUGACUGAAACCCUCCGGCAUAAUGAAAGUAAACGAGAUGAGAUCUACCCACUUGUGGGUGCGCAUC
This 845-nucleotide ribosomal RNA is filed under the name Obelia sp. NE-07-B. RNAcentral describes it as "eukaryotic LSU rRNA". It matches the Rfam family "Eukaryotic large subunit ribosomal RNA", at positions 84 to 763 of the family's 3401-position model. Lineage: Eukaryota; Metazoa; Cnidaria; Hydrozoa; Leptothecata; Obeliidae. The record is from RNAcentral.